CAACAGCGUAUGUUAAAGUUGUUGCAGUUAAAAAGCUCGUAGUUGGACUUCUGACGUGGGACUGCGCCCCGUUCCUUUUGGGUACGUUGGGUGCGGACUUGUGUCUUCCUCUCGUAGUUGGUUGGUGCACUUAACUGGGUGCCUUCUGAAUGUGGGACCUUCACUUUGAAAAAAUUAAGAGUGUUCAAAGCAGGCAUUGGCUUGAAUGCAUUAGCAUGGAAUAAUAGAACAUCGAUAGGACUUUGGUUCUAUUUUGUUGGUUUCUAGGACCGAAGCAAUGAUUAAUAGGGACAGUUGGGGGCGAUUAGCAUUUAAUUGUCAGAGGUGAAAUUCUUGGAUUUAUGAAAGACUAACUACUGCGAAAGCAUUUGCCAAGGAUGUUUUCUAUUAAUCAAGAACGAAAGUU
RNAcentral lists this ribosomal RNA (406 nucleotides) under uncultured eukaryote. RNAcentral describes it as "bacterial SSU rRNA". It matches the Rfam family "Eukaryotic small subunit ribosomal RNA", at positions 592 to 991 of the family's 1831-position model. The record is from RNAcentral.